CAGCCAUCUUAGGAUUCUCCUUCCACCUUCCGCGCACGGUCCAUCUGUCGCAGCCUUCGUCAUUUUAUCCUUCUUCCUCCUGAGUUCACUCUCUUCUAACCUCUUUUGCCUAUCCUUAGACCGCCUCUUUUGACUCACAGCGCUGCGCUGUGUGAACGUCGGCAAGCGCAUGGCGAUACAUUUUCGUGCGUGUCUUUUCAUGGAAAAUCGACGACAACGACGACAACGAUGACGAGAAUUUCGGAAGGCUGUAUACAUCAAGAGUUAACGAAACUACCGAAAAGCCAAAACGGCAAGCGCCGCAUCAAGAAAAAGAGGAAGAAAAGAGUAUGCAGCAGAAGUUUAAAAAUAUUUGGGGGAGAGGAAAAAGCGGAGAGCAGAAAGGGAAAAAUCGUGAAAGGAAGGCGAAGGAUCUGGAGGAUCUGGAGCGAGCUAGUGGGCGGAGAUAAUGGGAGUCUUGAAAUUGGAUUAUCAAUCUCCUCUCGGCUCCUCGACCUCUUGCGCAGGUAACGAUGAAAAAGGUGUUCAACUCGGGAACAGCACAAACGAACGCGAAUUCAAACGAAAGAAAAGAAAAGAAAAAACCAAGGAUAAUUUUUAGAAAAAAAGCUGGACAAGGGAAAGAAGAGAGGCGAGGUCCCUCCGGCGUAAAAAUUUUAAACGAGGUCCAAGAGAGCCACUCUUCGGGAACUUCGUAUCAUCUAUUGUUCCUGGCCGACGUUGCUACGACGAUGCUCGUUCCGAGAUUCGCGUAGAUUUACGAACCAAGUAUAAACAUUGAGAAGAUUACGGGGCAGAGCUCAUUUUAAGUUCUAACGAGCUCCCCUCGGCUCGGUGUCGCCGGCAUUAUCAAAUAAUUGAGAGAUGUAACUCACCGCUAUCUACGCUGCACCCUCGCCUACCGUCUCCCCUAUUCUUGUCACUCCUUUCCACCAACUAAGCCACGUACGAUUCGAUACCCCUUUUUCGUUUGUUUUAUUUCCUUGUUGUUUCUCCAUUUUGGAAAAAAAUGUGUGAAAAUCGAUCAUUAUAUAUUUAUUUUUAUUAUUUUCUUUUUUUUUCAAAAUGAAGAAAGUUUUUUUCGCAAAAUCUUCGAGCACUUUUAGAUCUCCAUUUCGAAAUGAAAUGUUAGAACAUUUGCAAAAUGUGACUAAGAGCGACACCUGUUGUUAUUACCAAUAUAUUAAUGUGUUAUCGUCGAAUUAAAUAUAUUAUAUAUUUGGUCGUGAAAUAUAUAUUUUAAUGUGGUUUAAAAUUUAAAAA
Long non-coding RNA from Apis cerana (Asiatic honeybee), 1263 nucleotides. RefSeq lists it as uncharacterized. NCBI's taxonomy places the organism in Eukaryota, Metazoa, Arthropoda, Insecta, Hymenoptera, Apidae. The record is from RefSeq and is a predicted model, not a curated record.